RNAcentral lists this ribosomal RNA (232 nucleotides) under uncultured bacterium. Its description in RNAcentral is "partial 16S ribosomal RNA". It matches the Rfam family "Bacterial small subunit ribosomal RNA", at positions 99 to 334 of the family's 1533-position model. The record is from RNAcentral.
CGGACGGGUGAGUAAUGUCUGGGAAACUGCCUGAUGGAGGGGGAUAACUACUGGAAACGGUAGCUAAUACCGCAUAACGUCGCAAGACCAAAGAGGGGGACCUUCGGGCCUCUUGCCAUCGGAUGUGCCCAGAUGGGAUUAGCUAGUAGGCGGGGUAAUGGCUCACCUAGGCGACGAUCCCUAGCUGGUCUGAGAGGAUGACCAGCCACACUGGAACUGAGACACGGUCCAG